GAGAAUAAAGAACGGAGAAGGUAGAGGUCGGGUGAGAAUAAAGAACUGAGAAGGUAGAGGUCAGGUGAGAACGGAGAAGGUAGAGGUCAGGUGAGAAUAAAGAACGGAGAAGGUAGAGGUCAGGUGAGAAUAAAGAACGGAGGAGGUAGAGGUCAGGUGAGAAUGGAGGAGGUAGAGGUC
Long non-coding RNA from Oncorhynchus keta (chum salmon), 180 nucleotides. RefSeq lists it as uncharacterized. The record is from RefSeq and is a predicted model, not a curated record. The transcript has 3 exons. NCBI's taxonomy places the organism in Eukaryota, Metazoa, Chordata, Actinopteri, Salmoniformes, Salmonidae.